GACAGAGGUGCCGAGCGUUAGGCGGAAUCACUGGGCUUAAAGCGUGUGUAGGCGGGUCGUUAAGUGUCUUGUGAAAUCCCACCGCUCAACGGUGGAACUGCUGGGCAUACUGGCGGUCUUGAGCCAGCUAGGGGCUACCGGAACAAAUGGUGGAGCGGUGAAAUGCGUAGAUAUCAUUUGGAACGCCAAUGGUGAAAACAGGUAGCUGGGAGUGUGCUGACGCUGAGACACGAAAGCCAGAGGAGCAAACGGG
Molecule: ribosomal RNA, 253 nt
Filed under: uncultured bacterium
Lineage: Bacteria
Description: partial 16S ribosomal RNA
Rfam family: Bacterial small subunit ribosomal RNA
Source: RNAcentral